RNAcentral lists this long non-coding RNA (215 nucleotides) under Chinchilla lanigera (long-tailed chinchilla). RNAcentral describes it as "lncRNA (ENSCLAG00000025729.1)". Lineage: Eukaryota; Metazoa; Chordata; Mammalia; Rodentia; Chinchillidae. The record is from RNAcentral.
AAACUCUAUGACCAAGAACAAACUGUUUAACAGGACACUUUGGCCACAAUUAAAGAACCAUAGAACCGUGAAUAUAGUUGAAAGAGAAAGAGAUUUUCUCAGCCAGUUCAGCAGUUUCAUUUUACACAUGAACAAAUGAAGACCUGUAUUUGUUUGUGGCCACAUAAUUAGUAGAAGGCAAUAAGAAUUCCACCCAGAUGUGCUGAAUCACAAUU